UACAGAGACCUCAAGCGUUAUCCGGAAUCACUGGGCGUAAAGCGCACGUAGGCGGAUCGUUAAGUCGGGGGUGAAAUCCCAGGGCUCAACCCUGGAACUGCCUUCGAUACUGGCGAUCUUCGAGUCCGGGAGAGGUGAGUGGAACUCCGAGUGUAGAGGUGAAAUUCGUAGAUAUUCGGAAGAACACCAGUGGCGAAGGCGGCUCACUGGCCCGGUACUGACGCUGAGGUGCGAAAGCGUGGGGAGCAAACAGG
RNAcentral lists this ribosomal RNA (254 nucleotides) under uncultured bacterium. RNAcentral's name for it is "partial 16S ribosomal RNA". It matches the Rfam family "Bacterial small subunit ribosomal RNA", at positions 524 to 776 of the family's 1533-position model. The record is from RNAcentral.